UAGGGAAUCUUCCGCAAUGGACGAAAGUCUGACGGAGCAACGCCGCGUGAGUGAUGAAGGUUUUCGGAUCGUAAAACUCUGUUGUUAGGGAAGAACAAGUACCGUUCGAACAGGGCGGUACCUUGACGGUACCUAACCAGAAAGCCACGGCUAACUACGUGCCAGCAGCCGCGGUAAUACGUAGGUGGCAAGCGUUGUCCGGAAUUAUUGGGCGUAAAGCGCGCGCAGGCGGUUCUUUAAGUCUGAUGUGAAAGCCCCCGGCUCAACCGGGGAGGGUCAUUGGAAACUGGGGAACUUGAGUGCAGAAGAGGAGAGUGGAAUUCCACGUGUAGCGGUGAAAUGCGUAGAGAUGUGGAGGAACACCAGUGGCGAAGGCGACUCUCUGGUCUGUAACUGACGCUGAGGCGCGAAAGCGUGGGGAGCGAACA
Molecule: ribosomal RNA, 428 nt
Filed under: uncultured Bacillus sp.
Lineage: Bacteria; Bacillati; Bacillota; Bacilli; Caryophanales; Bacillaceae
Description: bacterial SSU rRNA
Rfam family: Bacterial small subunit ribosomal RNA
Source: RNAcentral